CUCUGCACCCAUGGAACUUACAUUCUUUUACAGGAGACAUGGUAAGCAAGAGAUUCUGAUUCAGGAAGUUCCAUUUGUGGCCCAGGAAUCUAAUCUUUAUUUACCACUUUCCAACCAACACCAUUCCUGACACGGCAAGAAUUCAGGAACGAAUGAAAGGAUGGAAACUCAAACAGAAUGACUAAAUUGUAAUACAAAGAUAAUGAACUCCAAUGUAACAGGACAGCAAAUUAGAAGGCUGGGAAGUUGUUAGCCAUAAAAAAGAAAAAGAAAAAGAGCUUUAUUUCCACACUUUUGAAGCAUUCUUUGGAAACCAGAAAAAUCUAGCAAUACAGUUAACCCAGUUACUGUCAGUUCAAUUCUACUUUCAAAAGAAAGCCAGGCUAACAUUUUAAACAGCAAUUAUGUUUUAUGAAAAGGGAAGAAGAAGGAGUGAGAAGAACAUCAAAACCCUCAAAAGCAUGCCAAUGAGAAACCAAUCAGAAAGCAGGUUAGGAUCUCCAUUCACCCCAGCUUUUUGAAAUAAGCAUUUCCUGUCCUUAGCACCCUCCACUUUAUCAGCCUCACAGAGACCUGGGGGAUAUCAGAAGUGGCUACCAAAGGGAUUCAUAUGCUAAACUGAAACACCUGCUUUCCAAACCAAAGGAAAAAUGAGUAAAACAUGGACCACCCACCCAGUCAGAAACAAUGUACUUUGAGUUGGGUCGCUUUUAUGCCUUUUUCUUCUUAAGGGAUUCACCAGGAGUCUUAGAGAAGAUGGGUCGCUUUGAGCAUAUCCCAGGAAAGCUACCCUACAAUAAGUUGUAAUCAUCUGAAACACUAAAUCAAGACCAAGAUUCUUCUGCCUGGUGGACAUGGUGAUGCACCAGUGAUUGAUUACAAGUGGAGAUUACAAAACAAUAACUAAUUGACCACACUCUGGAAUGGCCUUUCAAAGUUGCAAAAUCCCAAUCAGAGUAUCCCAUUUGAAUAUUCCAAGUGAGUUUUUUGAGUUUCCAAAGAACUUUCUUUAAGGGGAAAAAAAAAUUCUCAAAAUCCAUAAAAUUAUCUUAAUACAUAAUCCAGUUAAGAUUUUUAAAUCUGAUCAAAUACCAUUAAUAAAGAAAAUUACUUCUUA
This is a long non-coding RNA of Herpailurus yagouaroundi (jaguarundi), 1117 nucleotides long. RefSeq lists it as uncharacterized. The transcript has 3 exons. Lineage: Eukaryota; Metazoa; Chordata; Mammalia; Carnivora; Felidae. The record is from RefSeq and is a predicted model, not a curated record.